GGUUCUGAAAUAACCGCCCUCACCACGACAUUGCGGCGGUUCCUGGGGCGGUUUUCGUCAACCGCCGCCACCAUACCACCAUAUAAAGCACGCGAUUUUCACCCUCACCACCAGUUAGCGACGGUUCCUGGGGCGGUUUUAAGCAACCGUCGUCGUUUAGGGCAAUACACCUCUCUUUGUGUUUCGUUUUCCAGAUUUUGUAAUGUAAUUUGUCACUCCUGCGUGUAUUCCUUUCUUAGCCCCGCGCACAUCCUUCCUCAACCCUAAAAUUUCUGAAAACCUCCAAAUCUCUCAACCUCUGUCAACCCUAAAACUUCUGAAGGAAACGAAAUCAAAGAGAAACGAAAUCGAAGACAAACGAAAUCUACUCUGUAAAAGAAGGUGACUUAUCAUCUUGGAAACAAAAUCAACUCUUGCAAAGGAAAGGGCAAGAUUACAGGUUAGUGAUAACAACGACCGCGCUGUGAUUGAAGACAAACUUGCUUGGAUUGUCCACAUCGUAGCCGCAAUUCUUAAGAUAAAACAGUGUACGGGAAAGGGCAAGAUUACAGGUUAGUGAUAACAACGACCGCGCUGUGAUUGAAGACAAACUUGCUUGGAUUGUCCACAUCGUAGCCGCAAUUCUUAAGAUAAAACAGUGUACGGGUUGUAGCGUGGAAUCCCAGGAAGUGCUAGAUGCCGAAAUUUCAGCUCGGGUUCUGCAGUUGAUCAACGUAACUGACAGUGGAGUACAC
Non-coding RNA from Cicer arietinum (chickpea), 734 nucleotides. Lineage: Eukaryota; Viridiplantae; Streptophyta; Magnoliopsida; Fabales; Fabaceae. The record is from RefSeq and is a predicted model, not a curated record.